GGUUAAGUUAGAAAGGGCGC
This 20-nucleotide ribosomal RNA is filed under the name uncultured Bacillus sp. RNAcentral's name for it is "partial 23S ribosomal RNA". Lineage: Bacteria; Bacillati; Bacillota; Bacilli; Caryophanales; Bacillaceae. The record is from RNAcentral.